CACACAUUAUUAUAUAUGUAAAAUGUAAAUAGAAGCUACAUCAUUAUUUCAUGAAAUAACAUCAUAGAGAAUGUGAUAGCAGAGUUCAUUCUCAGCAAUAUAUGUGAAACUAAUUAGGAAUCAAACUGUCUUCAAUAGUUAGAUGGAGGUGGAGGUAUGAAAGGAAUGGAAGGCAAGCUGCUGCUGGGAAGUGGUGGAAGAAUAGUGAUAAGCUUAGGCUAAGAUGGUGGGAUUGUUGGUAGCUUUGGGAUUCAAGGCAAUAUAGGAGGAAGUGGUGGAAUUGGUACGCUGGGAAGUGGUGGAAGAAUGGGGGUAGGGUUAGGAAGUGGUGGAAUUGGUACUGGUACUCUAGGAAGUGGUGGAAGACUGGGGGUAAGGUUAGGAAGUGGUGGAAUUGGUAAUCUGGGAAGUGGUGGAAUUGGGAAUCCAGGAAGUGGUGGAAGAAUGGGGGGAAGUGGUGGAAUUGGUGGAAUUGGUGGAAUUGGUGGAAUAGUUACUUGCUGAAGAUUUCGAGCUGCUAGGCUAACCUCCAUGCUUGAAAAACCCAACAAAAUGAAACAAGCUAAUAAAAUGAAAACGUUGGAACCUGCCAUUUUUUUUGGAGAGAUGAACUAAAGAUUGAAGAUUUGAGUUGAGGUUUGCAUUGAGGAAAGCAGGAUUGCUUUUCAGGUAUUUAUAGCCACAUUUGAAAGACUUAAUUAAUUAUUUGUUUGAGAUAUUAUUCCCCUACUUAGCAUACUACCUUUUCUCACCCAUCUGUCAUCACCAACAAAAAGAAGAAGAAGAUAAAUUAGACUCAUCCUUAAACUUAAAAAUAUUCUGAAUGAGUCGAUUUGUCUAAUGUUAGUUAAAAAUUAAAUGCUUUUAAAUUUUGUGUGAACUAUAUCUUUCUAUUUCCAUUUACCUAAUGCCAGUUAAAAAAUAAAUAUUUUUUUAUAUAAUGAGUGUAUAUUUGACUUACGUAUGUGGCGCUCUAUUAAAAAAAAAAUUAAAUUAGGUGGAUCAAAUUUAAAUAUUAGAUAACUAUACAUGUUGGUACUUAAACUUGGUAUUUAAGAUUUUUUGUUGUCCAAUUAAAGGUUGAAUUUAAAUUAGAUAGUUGAACUUGAUUUCUUAGUUCAAAUUCCAAGCUUAGAUACCAAAAUGUUUGGUAUAAUAUUAAAUUAAAAAAAUUCAAGAUGUAAAAUACUAAUUUAACAUUUAAACUAGUUGCCCCAUACAGCUACAAUGGUAAUGAUAGAAGAAAAGUAAUUGAAUGGGAUUAGGAGAUGAAGAUCCUAGUAAAGCCACCUCUAGAGGUAUGAGAGUUGCGACCACUCUAUAAUUGAAUGCUACAAAAAUGGUUAUAUCUAGGAAUCUUUCGCCAUUAGCUAAUAAUGGAAAUAGCUAUGUAUCACUUAAAAAACAACAAUUCAUAUUUUCUUGAAAUAUAUUCAAAAAAUUGAAAAAUAUAAAAAAUAUCAUUUUUCUAAAAAUCCAAAAAUUUUAUGUGAAUAUCAACAAAUUCAGAAACUAAAAGAUAUGGAAAGCUUUAAAGUUUUUCCAAAAAGAUAGAAAUUUGCAGAAAAUUAGGUAUUUAAGAUUCCAAUAUUUUUAUUUCCCUUCUUUCCUGAUUGGAGAAAAUAUGAAUUAGGUGACGCCAUCGUUAACAAUUGGGGCAAGGUAAGACACGGUUGGAAACUUCAAGUAGGUGUAAUUUUGGGGAAAUAUUACAUUGUUUAAUAAUGAAUAUUGACAUGAUUUACCCUGAGUUAAAUCAAUUAUAUUUUACUUAUAUUUUCUAUACAAAUUUUAUACAAGCCUAAAUUAAUCAUAUUCAAUCAUAUCAAUCUCAAUAUUUUGAAUAAGAUAAUAAUAUUUUCUUAAAACUAUAACUAUAUAAAGUAUUGUAAAAAUAAUUAUUCAAUUAUACAGCUAUUUUAUUUGUAUAAUUAUAAUUAACAUAACCUUCUCCAUCAUAUAAUUAAAAUUUGUUCAACUUAUAAUUACAACAACUUUCCGUGAAGAAAAGAGAGAGACACAAAUACAAACUAAUGAGAUUAAAUAAAUCUCAAAUAUAAAAUAUUCUUCAAUAAACAUCAUUAAUCAAUCUCAAAAGAAACAAGAAAAGAAAUUCAUAAAUUAAACAAUAAGAAUAUAAUAUAACAAUCCAUUAUUUAAUAAAUUCAAAAAAAAAAAUCACAUUUAUAUUUUAAAUUUUAUUGGUCUAAUUUUAGAUAGGUUUAUAAACUUCAAAUGAUUUAAAAUAUUAGUGUCACGCCCCUAAAUAUAGGAAGGUUCAUUGAAAUGAAUAAAUAAGAAAUGUGUUGACACCAUUUUUUUGAUGAAAACGGGGUUGACUUGGAUUUUGAAAAUGAAAAUUAAAAUGACAGUCGCCACCAAUCCUUUUUGAUAAGGUGUGAUCGGAUCACCUUGAAAAGUGGUUGUUUUUAAUAAACGAUUUAAUUUUAUUAAAACAACGAGUUUGGUCCACGAAAUUCAGAAAAAUGGGUUCGGGAGUCGGUUACGUACGAGGAAGGAUUAGCGCCCUCGUGACGCCCAAAAAUUGGUACCUAGUUGAUUAGUUAAUGUCUUAAUGUCAAAAAUUGUAAACUUUGAAGAAUUUUAAAAAUACGAUCCUUAAUUUUUUUAAAAAGAAAACUUAUAUAAAUCAAGUUACUCGUUAAGACCCUCCCAUUUCAGAAAGAGAAAACGUCACGCCCAAUGCGUUAGGGCACGAUAUUUUACCUCUUCAGAAAUGAGCUUGUCUAAAAACUUACACAAUAAAAUUUUAAAGGGCAUUCAAUUGUUUAAGUCAUGUGAAAAAUUGCAACCCAAUACAUUAGGGCACAAUUUCUCAAAAUAUUAAACAUUGAAUAUUGCAUUUAUUUUGAAAAAUCCUCAUAUCCAAUGCGUUACGGCACAACGUACUGAAUUCUCGAUAAUGAGCUAUUUAUUUAUGUUUUUGUUUUAAAGAGCACCCUCGAUUAUUUAGAUCCAACGAAGAAAAUUGGAACCAAUACGUUAGGGUUCAAUUCUCUCGAAGAUCCCAAAUACCGAGUAUUACUUUUAUUUUGAAAUUUUCCGUUUUUGAUAAAUCCGAGUAAAAAUGGAUGCAAAAUAAUGAUAAUGAUGAUAAUGUAAGUAAAAUAACACGAGCAAAACAAAAUAUAAAUAAAUAAUAAGACUAAUAUAAAUACAAUCGUGCAGGCGCAAUAACAAAUAAGAAACAGAUAAAAACUAAAGCAAGAAAAAUAAUAAUAACAUACAUGUAAAUAAAUAACUGAACAAAAUUAACAAAAUUAAAAAAAAUAUAAAAGAUAUAUUUAUACAUAUAUAUGUAUAAAAUUAUGAAAAUAUUAAAAACAUAUGCAUGUACACAUUUUUGAAGCUAUUAUACAUGAAAAUAUAUGUAAGUAUAUAUGCACAUACAUGAAUACGUAUAGAACCAUCAUCAAAUAUAUAAAAGUAUAUAUAUAUAUAUGUAGGUAUAUAUGAAUCACAAAAUUUAAAGAAUAAUAUAUAUAAGAUAUAUAUUUUGGAAGUAUAAAGAAUAUGUAAGAAUUUAUAUAUACAUACAUUUAUAUAUGAAAAUGAAAUAUAUAGAUAUGUAUGUGGGUAUGUAUAAAUAUUAUAAAAUAUAAAAACAUAUAUGUGUACGCAUAUAUAUAAAAAUAUACAUAUGUAUAUAUACAUAUAUAUUAUGAAAAUAAAGCUAAAAAAAAACUAGUUAGUGUAUUAACAUAAUUGUAACGACUAAAUAAAGGAAAAUAAUAAUAAUAAUAAUAAUAAUAAUAAUAAUAACAUUAAAAUAAUUAACUAAAUAAUAAAAAUUGCUAAAAAAAGAUUAAAUCGAAAUAAAAACGAAAAUACUGGGCAAAUUCGAAAUAAAAAAAACGAAAAGGAUUAAAUUGCUACACGCAUCGAAAGAGGGAGACCAAAACGAUAAAUAAACCAAAGCCCCAAAACGCAGCGCUGCAACGGACUAAAAUGAAACAAAAGGAAAACUAUGUGGCUAAAUUAAAAUAAAAGAAAAUAAUGAAAAAGGGCCAAAUUGCAACUCGUUGCAAAGUCGGAGUGACUACGCGCGCAAAUAUCCCCUUUUAAGAAAACACGCGGAUCCUCCCCCAGGGUCGGGUCACCGAGCGGGUCAGGGCCAAAAUGGCGUCGUUUUGGCACCUGACCCUAAUGACAAAACGGCGCCAUUUCGUUUAGGGUAUUUAAACCUAAUUUUUCCCAAAAAACCUAAUUUCAGCCACCAUUUAAAAAAAAUAAAAAACUUUCUUUUUCUUUCAAAAAUCUGACUUUUGGGGUAAAAUUUUUUACUUUCUCUUGAUAUUUUGCGCGAAUAUGAAUUGUUUUUUUUUAAAAAAAUAUGUAUAAAAAUAAAAAUGAACGGGUAUAAAAAAGAAAAGAGAUGCGAAACUAAAAUCACAUUGGAGUGAAUCUGUUUGUUUUUUUUAAAUCUGUUUUUGUAUUAUUUAAAAGUGUUCUUACAAAAAAUCUAAAAAGGAACCCCCUAAAUUACAGAAAAAUUUGGCUUUUAUAGCCGAUUCUCCCCCCUCAUUCUUUGCUCUGUUGCUUUUCUAUUGCUUGCAGGGACUUGACGCGGUGCAUGUGGGGUGUCGGUGGCAAGUGGGGUGAUGGAACAUCCGACGGUGGCCGUGGCUGCUGGUGAUGCGACUGGUGUGCGGCGGCCAAGAGCUAGGGUUUCAGAAAAGCUGAAACCCUAGUUUGACUGUUGGGGUUGGGAUUUUGGGCCAAUUGGGUUAUUGGGCCUCGAGUUUGGGUUUGUAAUUGGGUUAAUUUAUUUUUUUUGGGUUUUAUGUUUGGGUUUAUUGAAUAUUGGGCUGAGGGUUAGUGGGUUAGGCCUAGGUGGGUUGGUUUGGGUUUUGGGCCCCGGGCUAAAAUUGGGCUUGUACAAAAUGAAUUAGGUUUAAUGGCUAAGUGUUAAAGAAUUCACCUUAGAGACUUAAGUUCGAGUUCCCUUCCUUCCUUUUUAUUUUUGGUAACUUGGUUUUAGGGUAAAGUCACACUCAAAAUAUAUACGACUAGGAAUUAAGAAUAAAUAAGAAAUGGGCAAUAGGUCCAAUGGUUAAGUGUUAAUCCCCUAUCUUAGAGAUCUUAGGUGUAAGUUUCCUUUUUCCCCUCCCAUUUUUCUUUUGGAUUUCGACAAUAAGGGGAAAUUUGCUGUGCCACCCCUAGGGUUUUCAAACCCGAGCUAUUUAAUCAUUCUUUUCCCAUUUGGAUUAGUUUUGCUUCUUUUCAAAUUCUUGUAAAAUUUCUACUCAUAUUAUAUUUCUCUUAUAUUUAUUUUCUUUUCCUUUCUUUUCAUUGUAACACCCUAAACUCGGUCGAAUAGGUUCGACCUAAAUUUGGAGAGCUACAUUAGCCACCGAAGUGACUUUCCAUUAACUCCCAAUCUAACCUCUAACACACCACUUACUUGCAACGUAUAUUAUGAUAAGUUAUAUCAUAACAAGGGUAUAAUAUAAUACAUAUAAUGUAAAUCAUGCAAGCUUAAAACCAAUGUAACACCCCAAACCCGGCUGAGUAGGUUCGACCCAAAUUUGGCGAGUUACAUUAGCCACCGAAGUGACUCUCCAUCAAUUCCCAACCUAACCUCCAACACACCACUUACUUGCAAUGUAUGUUAUGAUAAGUUAUAGCAUAACAGUGAAAUAAUAUCACAUAUAGAAUGUAAAUCAUGCAACCUUAUCAAACAAAAUGAGGGAACGGUUCGCAUGUUAAUUACUACGUAAGGCUACGUAGUAAGGUUAUCGCACCUAAGGGUUCACAAGCAUAUAGGGGGUCACAAACAAACAAAGGUCGCAGAAAAUAACACUUCGCAAAAAAAAUUGGCUCGCGUAUGAUGUUAAUACAUAUUUUGGAAAAAUUGAAAGAAUGCGACAUGGUACUCAUGCUAGGAGAAUUAAAGAAACAUCAAAGUAUAUUCAUGCAGAGAAGAAAUUAGUAAUAAAGGUUUAACUUCAUGGUUCGCAAAAUAUUAAAAGAAUAAACUUAAACUUUAGGGAAAUCGUUUCAUUAACAGAAUCAUAUAAUGAUAAAUCUAAACCUAUAUAAAUAAAACCCCAUCACCUAUUUCCCUAGGUUCGCAUUAUUUGUUCAGAGAUAGCCUCGCUAUUGCCAUUGGCGACUUACUUACCUGCAAAGUAAGAGAAGAGUGGGUGAGUUCAUUGCGAACUCGGUGAAUAAUCCGGAAUCAUCAACGUAUGAUUAAAAUACAGAGUUUAAAAUAGAAAGAAGACUUAGUAUGAAAAACUAUUGUAUCGCGUGUUGGGUUCGCAGUGAAUGCUAGGUUCGCAGUGAAUGUGCGAGACCCAGUUUAUAGAACCUGCUUGUCAUAAAAUCAUAUAAGUUUGAAAAUAGUUUUGCAUGUACUUACUGAAAAUCAUACUUAAAAACUUAGCUUGUUCUUGUUUGAAAAUGGAUCUUUUAUAGAAUGAAACAUGCUCACAUACUUAUCUUAUCGGAAUGGCUGAGGAAUAUAAAAUAUGUUCUUGCACUUUUCUUAACUUACUUAUAUUAUCUUGUCUUAUUUUGUUGGAUAUGUGGAUCUCUUUAUAACGCCUCAGAAUGACUCAAAGAGUCCUUAAGAUGUCCCAUAAGUGUAACAUAAGCUAAACACUCUCUUGUACACCAACAUGUCCUAUUGAAUGGAGCAUAGCUUGGCGUUCCCUUAUCUCUCCACAUGUCCCAAAGCCUCAAUGCCCAAAUCACAAAACUUAUUGGUGAGUACUCACAAUCCUUUGGUAUACAAAUAUAUCCAAUAUAUAAGCUCACAAAGGCACUCGUAUAGAAACUUAGCACAUAGAGCUAGAAAAAACAUAGCUUAUAGAACUGUAUUUUUAAAACAUGCUUUAAAACAUAGGCUUGCAUAGGAGCAUGCGUAACACAUAUCUUUAAAACAUAGCUUAAAACAUAUCUUGAAAACAAAUUAUCAGAACUUUUAAAAACAUAGUUUUAUAGGAAAAAAAACUUACUCUUGGAACUUAGUUUUUAAAAAAAAAAGAUUCUUAGAAAACAUAACAGUUCACACACAAGUUACGAAACCUGAGCAUUCAUACUAAAAAACAUGAUAGUUACCACACUUAUGGCAAUUCUUAACCACUCAUCGAUAAAACUGAAAAUUUAAAUGAGUUUUGCCUUGCCUUUAUCCUUGCUGUAGAUAGUCUGGUUGGUUCGUAACAUGCAUAAACACACAAAUUACUUCAAUAGACAAAACUUACGAACUUCACACAUGCAAGCGAACCUAGCUUUCUGGACAAUAAACCCUAAUAGGAAAAAUGCUUACCUUGGUUGCUACGAAUUUGGUUCAGAACAAAGACUUGACAACAAAAUAACGAUGAAAGAAUUUUUCCUAGAAUAAGGAUUGUAUUUAUAGGCACUAAGUAUCUUAGUGACCUUAGGAUACCCUAUUUGACUUAGGAACCCUCUACGGUUUAAAAGAAGGUUACGUGCACGAAAAGUAUCCUAGAUACACAAUAUAUUUAUUUCCUAAGUUUAGUCUAACUUGACUUUUGAUUGGCGAACCCCUAGUUUGUAACUCAAUUGUUGAACCCCAGCUCACUAAACAGAUUGGAGAACACAACUUUCAAUGAAUCUAGCGAACCUCUUACCACAUCAUUUGGCGUGCAGCAGUUUGCUAGAACACUGGCAAACUCCUUACUGGUAUCCCCUUUGGUGAACCCUAGUUUGCUGAAACACUAGUGAACCCUCACUUGUAAGGUCAAAACUUCUAGAUCAGGUUUCAGGAUGUUACAAACACCAUAUUUUUAUCAUAAUUGUUGUUGAUUAUUUUUCUUUCCUGAAUCAAAUCAUCUUUCAUUAAAUUAUUUUUCUAUUAGUUUUGUAAUUGUCGUCAAUAGCACCUCUAUAUUUGCCAAGAAACAAACCGAAUUUAGGUGAAUCAGACCGAAAUAAAGUGUGAAGAACAUCAACCGGAACUGUGGUGAAAGGUGUGUGUCUUUUCCAAGUGAAUCAGUGGUGAUCUGUGUACGAUUAAGGCCACAUGGGCUAUGCGUGUGGUCCACCAACUACCACACAACCAUGUGCACUUGUAGAUUUUAGGGACUUCAUGAACCAUACGGCCUCAGCCAGUUACACGAUCGUGUCUUUCCUGCAAGGUUUAUCAUUUUCCACAUGGAAUCAUGCUGUUACAUGACCGUCUAACCCUUACACAGGGUCUUACCCUUCUCACAUGGCCUGGCCAUACAGCCGUGUGACCCUGUUUUACAGUUUUGACCAAAAAUUUAUCAUAUGUUCAAUUUAGUCCUCGUUUAUCCCUUGAAUUAUUUUAGAGUUUUCAUUCACUCAAUUAAGUCCUUGAUAUUGUGUUUAUUCUAGAAUCUGUGAUUUAAUGACUAAAUUCCUAUUUUUAUAUUGUAUGAGAUGUGAAUAUUACAUGCCUACUGUCAUUGUAAUACUGAUAAACUAUUAAUGAUAAUAUUGUUACCACCCUAUUGAGUACAUGUUAAGCAUGUCUACUGCUAAUGUUGAACUGAAUACAUGAUAAGCAUGUCUAUUAUUAUUAUUUUUUGUAUUGUUCUAUUACAAAGCAUGCCAUAUUGCAUUGCAUGGGGUGGGACGAUAUGUAUGGAGAAAGGGUGACAGUUUAAUAAUCUGCAACCCAGUGGUGGCUCGUCCACAAACCCAAUGGCAGUUUAUCUGCAAAUGUUUUAACUAAAAAUACUGGUUGUUUAUCCGCAAUUUUUACAACGAAGUGGUAGUUUAUAUACAAAUCAGUGGUGAUUUAUCCACAACUCGGUGUGUAUGGAUGGAUGAGUUCUGGGGAACUCAUAGUGUGGUGUGUAGUGAAGUUGGGUAGGACCUUUUCUGAUAAACUGAAAUUGCAUUGCCAUUCAUAAACAUGUGCAUACAAACCAUGAAUUCUAAAUAUUAUAGUGAAGUGUUGAAUUGGAAAACCGAUAUUGUGAAUUGCUAUACGAUUGUGGUUAUUCUAAGAAUUGUUAUUUCGUAUGCUUUGACCACUAUGUUACACCGAUUUUCUUGUGAUAUGACUCACAUUGAGCUUAAGUUCACCCCCUUUUAAUUUCCAUCUUUAUAGAUAACCCACCAGGUUAGGACAUAGACACAACAUCUGGAAGGUCUUGGCUCAGAUAAAUUUUUUUAUUAAAAGUAUUUUAGACUUAUUAUUAUUUCUAUUAUUUGGAAUUGUAUUGUUUUAUUCAAACUUUGGCACGAGACUUAAGUUUUGAGUUUAUUUGACAUGCAUGAAAUUUAAUUUGAAUAUUAGGAUAUUGAAACAUGGAUUUUAAACUAAUUAUGCAUGAAAUUUUGGUUUCGCCAUCAUUAAAAAUAUUUUGAAUAUCAUUUUUCCGCUACGAUAUUAUGAAAAUAAGAAUUUGAAAAAAGUAAAUGAAUUGGAAAUCAACUUUUACUAAGUAAACUUUAAAAUCCAUUGUUUUUUGGAAACUUUUAUUUUUUAGUGAAAACAUGAUUACACGCAAAGUUUUUCUUCAAUAAUAAGCAAAUGUUUUAAACAACUGUUUUAUAAAAACUCCGAUAGUUGUAGUAGGCCAUUUCGGUAGCCAAUGCAAUCUUUUGAAUUCAGUCUUAACGUUUAGGCCGAGUUGAGGAAGUUACUAUUAGCAACUUAACAUUAAUUUGAACAUUAAAUGUUGGUCCAAACUUGACACGAAAUAUAUUUAGAAUACAUAAAUCAAAAAAUUAGUAAGUUGGCUACUUGGGUUAAUUUAUUGGUUUGACACAACAUAUCCUAUAGUAAUUCAAUGGGAUUAGAACAUCCCAACUCCUAGUUGAUUUAAUUGCUAGGUUAUCUAAGUCCACGCUUGCAAUUAUUGCUUAAAGCAUUUGUUUAAUAAAAUCUUAAAUUCCAAUGGAGGUGCUUUUUCAUAAUAUGAGGUAACCUAAGAAAAAGGAAAAAGUUGAACAUAUUGUUAAGUUAAAAUUGAACAAAUUAAGGCAAAGUGUACAAAUGGAGUGUCAUCAUUCAAAUCGGUCCUUCUCUUAAUUGUCAUAAGCCAAUUAGGUAAGCCAGAUUCUUUUAAUAAAAAGUAAAGAUUUCAUGGCAUCCCUAAAGCAUUGCAAAUUUUUUGUAAGCAUUAAAAUGGCAUUAGUUGGUACAAUACUGGUAUUGAUCUGUAUAUAUUGCUUCGGUUUUGAUCAGUACCAAAUAGUUUAUAUUUCGUUCAAUCAAAAUUUUGUUAUGUUUGAUUAUUUCGGUGUGUUUCGACCUAUUUUGGUCAAUAUCGGCUUGUACUAGCUAGUAUAAAAUUUGAUAUUUUAAACUAAAUUUUAAAAUUUUUUAAUCUUAAUUAUUUUAAUUUUGGCUAAAGGGUCUUCAAAGCCCUUGAACAUUAAAAUUUCAAUCAAUUAAGCCCAUCACACAUUAAAGUUAACGAUCAACCAUGAAAGAGCAACAAUAGCCAUUAUGAGCAAUUGUUUUCACCACGUGGCAUGUUAGACUGUACCACGUGACGAAAUAUGGUGUUUUAAAUUUAAAACCAUUAAAACUAUAGAAAAUCAUAAAAUAUUAAAAAAUUACAAAAGUUAUAAAAUUAUAUAAAAAUGAACAAAAUUAUAAAAAGUAGUAUAAAUGAUACAAAAAUUAUAUAAAUUAUUAAAAAAUUGCAAAAAGAAAACAUUAAAAAUAAGCUUAAAAUAAGAAUAUAUAAAAAAAUGUAAAAAAAAAAAAUUAGAAACUAAGUUUCGGAUACACAGCUCUGGCUGUAUUUUUCAUAAAUAAAAGCUUGGUUGAGAUUUUAGAUUUGGUAUAAAUACAAUAAAUAUAAUAUUUAUAGUAGUAAACAAGUGAAUGAAAUUAAGUAAUUGUGAUUGAGAUUCACCAUGAUUAUAUUUAUAGGAAUAAAAUAUUCCUAUAUAUAAUGAAAGUGUAAUUGAAUAAUAAAAUUCAUAUUAAUACAAGUUGCUUUAAAACAAAAGUAAAUAAUUUGAUAUUGAUCUUGUGAAACAAUUGAAUUUUGGUUUUGUUAUGGGAUUAAAUUAGCAAUUAAUCCUUUUUAAGAAUUUAGAGAACGAAUUAGAUAAGUUAGACAUAAAAGUAGAAGAGUAAAAAGAAAGGAAGUAGUGGGUAGAUUAACAUAAUUAGGAGUUUAAAUGAUAUGAUAAUAAUUAAAGCUUUAAUUUAGUUAAGGUAAUUAGAAAUGUUUGAUCAUAUUUUAGAUGUUAAUUGAAAUUAAACGAGUUAAUAGGUCGAAUACAAGUUUAUAUUUUAGUUAAGAUAAUUAAGAGUUUAACUAGAAUUAAAAAAAAAUAAGAAGCACAUUGAAUCGUCGAUGAAUUGAUUUGAUUCUAAAUCCAAACUCAAGAGAGUAGGAACAUAAUCCAUUGGAAACAACACUUUUAAGUUGUUUAAAUUUUUGAGAAAGAAAAACACUUUCAACCUUUUUUUUAAUCCCCACUCUAUCCACCAACCUACUCGUUGCUUUAUAAGUCAAAAUCGGGAAAUUAAAUAUUACACUAUUACUAAUUCGGUUAAAUUGGUUAAUUCGGUCAAAUGAAUAUUAUCGAUUUUUUGAUAUGUUUUUUUACUUGUUUUAACCAAAAAAAUAAAACAUAUAAAUUUCGGUUAAUUUGAUUAACCGGCCGAAUUAAUCGAAAUAUUUCGAUUUGGUUAAUGGUUAAAGAUACUAAUUCGAUUCGGUUAACUGAUCGGUUAAUUGUUUGAGCACCCCUAAAAAUAAGUCAUGGGACCAACAUACUGACUUCCAUACAAUUGUUAGGUAUAUAUAGCAACUCAUAAGUAUGAGUAGAAUUAGUACGCAGUACCUUAGAUUCAUUGAGCCACAUUUCAAAGUUUCCCAUGAUCUCUUUUGCUGUCAAUGAUAUAAUAAACUUUUUGUAUUCACAAUUAUGUUCACAAUAUAAAACAUAAUUGGUCGACUUGAAUACAAUUAAAUGAGACACUCUAAUGUUCUUUCCUUUUCCUCAAAUCUCUCUAUUUCAAUUCAACUACUCUCUAGAUAUGUCCCGUUAGAUUGAAUCAUACAUGAUCAUCGAUAGCCUACUAAAAUAGCUAAUAUUGAUGUAAAACUUCAAGAAACAGUUAAAGGUCAUGAGGGUACUUAGUAUAGAUCUUCAGUUGAUCUCAUGGGUUUCACACAACAUAGAAGCAGAGAUCAAAUCUUCUAUUACCCAUUUUGUUCGUAUAAUACACAUGUAGUAUGAAACACAUGCUAUGGUAUUACUCUCACUUUCCUUGAAGUGUAUGUCUUUAUCAAAAAAUCAAUACCACAUAGGUGAUAAUUCAAAUACACUUAGUAUCUAACUCGAGUCCACAACUUUAUUUUCUUAAUAGAUUCAACAACAAGACUUUCACCUGGAAUAAAAGACAUAUAAAGUGAAAAAUUCAUAUUUAAAUUAUCAAACAUAAAUCAAAUUGAUUAUAAUUAUAUCAUUUUGCAUAUAGCUCAUGUCGUGCAAGUGCACACUUUAGCCCCAACAAGUUUGGACCUAUGCCCUUCAUGCAUGCAAGGCAAGAUUCCAAACAUAAUCAUUCAAUCAUCAUUUAUGUGGGUUCUCAUAUAUAUACACAUCUCACACUUGGUAUUUAACCAAUGUGGGAUCUAAGCUUUUCUUUUCCUCAACAAAUAUUCACAAGUAGCUUACUUUGAGCACCAAUUUCUCAUUCAUCACUCAACCAUUUUGAGCAUAUGAUAUACUGUUGUAAAGGUCUCAUGGAGUAGAAUAUAAAAUCAUAAUUUUAUGAUUCAACUCUCAACAUUUACCAAUUAAAAAUAUGCCUCAAAGUUCCCAUAAAUUACAAAUUUUCCAACAACUUUUGAAUGCAUUAAUCAUUAUCAACAUUAACUCAAGUGAGGACAAGAAUAUAUUAUUCAACUUGCAAUCCUAGAGUUUUGACAUUCCUUUAAAAAAUCUCUAGGAAUCGGUUUUGUAAACUGAUUUGCAAUCCUCUUAUGCAUAGACUUUCUCUCUUGUUGUGAGAUUUACCUUCACACUUAUUUUUUCCAAUAUACUAACUUUAGAUAUUUGGAGUUUGGAGUUGGUCAAACAGAUGUAAAAGCUACCUUUUCCAAAUGAAAAUCUGGAAUUUACACAGACAAAGUAGAUUUCAUUGACAAAGGUGAAAUGCAUAGUCUGGGCAAGUUAUGAAGAUCAAUUUUAUGAUCUUAAGCGAUUUUCCAGAUAGUGAUAUGCUAUUUUUUUUAAUUAAGAAACUGUUUAGUUUGAUUUAAUCAUAAUUGAUAAAGACCACUUUACUCAUGUUAAAAGAAGGAAAGAAAAUUUUGUAACUAUGUCAUUUUAUGUGGGUGACAUGUUGUUGGCCGCAAAUGAAUUAGUGCUUAUCAUUAUGGGUUAUGCAAGACUACAUGUCAAUUCAUACGAAUGUGUCCUUUUUUCAAUGUUGUGAGUAGCAUCAUAUAUGUUAUGAUGUACAUAAAGCAAAGUAUCUCUUGUAUAGUUGGAUUCAAGACACUCCAAUCCAAACUCAUUGCAAAACAAUGAAAAUGAUAUUGAGGUAUUGAAAAGACACUAUGGAUUUUCACCAUGCUAUCUAAUUGUGAAUACAAAUACCUAUUAAUUAAAAGGAGAUUUAGAUGAAAUAUUGAAAUCUAUCUCCACACAUGUGUUCGUAUUUGAUAAUGGAGUGAACUCUUAAAGUAGUAAGAAAUAAACUUGUAUAGCAUGGUCUAUUAUUGAUGCUGAAAUUGGCAUUUUUAGCGAUGGUUCAAGAGAGUGUUUGGGUUAAAAUAAUCACGAUUAAUAUAGUUACGUUAAAGCAAAAUAUCUUCUAUAGUUGGAUUCAACAUAGUCCAAUCCAAACUUAUUGCAAAACAAUGAAAAUGAUUUUGAGGUCUUUUAUUGUUCUCUCUUGUAUAGUUUGCAUCUCAAGGCACUUUCUUGUUGAUUACGAUGAACAAAAAACGGUUGCAAGCUCUGGGACGAGCAAGAUCAAUAUCUUUAGAGAUCAAAUGAUGGUUAGUAUACAAAUUUAAAAACUAGUUUUUAUAAUUUCAUUUUCAUAUAGUUUUUAUUUAUUUUUUAUUAUAAAUUUUAUGCUUUUUAUAAUAUUUUAUAUGUUUUAGUAUUUUUACAAUAUUUUAAUAACUUUCUAUCUUUUUAAAUAUUUAUUACCAUUUUUAUUUUUAAUUCAAAUAAUUUAUUUUUUUCCAAUUUUCUAUAUUUUAUAAUAUUUUUAAUAAUAUUUUAUAUAUUUAAAUAUUUUUUCAUAAUUUUAAUUUUUUUAAAUUUUUCAUAAUUUAUAUGUUUUUUUAAUUUUUAUUUUAGUACUUUUUAAUGCUUUUCACAAUUUUUAAUAAUUUUUAUAAUUUAUAUUUUUUUUUCGUUUAUAAUCAUUUUUAUAAUUUAUAUAUAUAUCUGCAAUUUUAUAUAUUUUAUAAUUUUUGCAAUUUUUAUAUUUUAUAAAAUAAUUUUGUAAUACUCCAAACUCGGCCUUAACGUUAUGACCAAAUCUAGAGAUGCUAUGAAGAUACAUUAAAAAAAAUCUAGAAUCUGUUGAUUUUAUAAAAUGAUACUUGCCCUUAUUUAGUAAAAUCUGAGUUUAUUUGAGAAAUUUAUCGUUUUGAUGGGUUUGUCAAUUAUUUACUCAUAAAACUAGUCGAAUCCAAUUUGAAAACACGAUUUUUUUUGUUGUUGUAAAAUCCAUUAUUCAACAAUUCAAUUUUCAACCCACCAACGAGGAAAUCACACAGGACUUCCUGCUAACCUACCAUCUUUUUUCAAGAGUUCAAACCCAAUCCAACACCACCAACUCGACAGCACAUUAAGGGCUAACAAAAAUAAAUUAGAGACUCAAACGAUAAAUUAACAUCUUAUCGUUGAACUAGUAAACUCAUUCUAUCACAAAUUGAUCAAAAAUAGUAUUUAAGUGGUAAGGAACAAGAUAAGGAUAAAAGACAAAAAUAAUAAAAUUUCUUAAAAAUGAGAUUUGAACCCUAAUCAGUAAAACAAAUACUUAUUCAUGACAUAAAUUAACAAAUUAAAAAUUCAUAUUUUUGGGUCUUAAAAGUUUUUAAUAAAUUAUAAUUACUUGAUUCCAGUUUCUUUAUUAUGCCCAAAUUUAAGAUUAAGCCCUAUAUUUUAAUUUUGACAUAAUUUGAUUUAUUUAUUUUUAUAAUGUCAUUAGUUAUCUUAAAUCGCUAACAUUAUUAGCUAUGCCAAGUAAAAUAACAUCGCGUAUUUUUUUUCUUAAAAUCAUCACUUCUAACUAAAUAAUGGCUUAAUCACUUUUUUAACUAAUUAUACUAACAUAGAUUUUUUUUAGUUGGAACGAGUAUGUUUAAGGAAAAAUCACCUCAACACUUUACUUGAAAUUAGUAAUCACAUUAAUUAUUUGGACUAACUAAAUCAUUACUGAAUCACCUUCUAACUAAUUAUAGUAAUGUAUAUAUUUAAGAAAAAGCUCACUUUAAUGUUUUAACUGAAAUUAUUAACCGUGUUAAUUACUUAAACUAACUAAUGAAAAAUAUUUCAAAUUAAUUUAUACUGAAUAACUCUCAAAUCCAAGUAUAAUAAAAUAAUAUGACUAACUCAAACUUGGCGUUGAAUUGAGUUUGGGAGUAAAAUAAUCACAUCACUCAUUGGCAAAGCAUGACUGUGAUUAUGAUAUGGUUUUUCGAAGUAUAACUAUGGUGGAGUUGAUAGCAUUGAUUAGAAUACCUUUAUAAAUGAAUAUAUAACAUUUAAUCAUGUAUAUAUUUUUAAUAAUUUAAUAACUUAAAAAAACACCACACUUUAUUAUAUAUGUAAAAUGUAAAUAGAAGCUACAUUCUUAUUUCAUGAAAUAACAUCAUAGAGAAUGUGAUGGCAGAGUUCAUUCUCAGUAAUAUAUGUGAUACUAAUUAGGAAUCAAACUGUCUUCAAUGGCUGGAUGGAGGUGGAGGUGGAGGUGGAGACAUGAAAGGAAUGGAAGGCAAGCUGCUACUGGGAAGUGGUGGAAGAACAGUGAUAGGCUUAGGCUAAGAUGGUGGGAUUGUUGGUAGCUUCGGGAUUCAAGGCAAUGGAGGUAUGCAGGGUUGAGCUGAGAAUGAUGGUAGAUCUAGGAUUGAAGGCAAUGGAAGUAUGUUGGGCAACUUACGAAGUGGUGGUAGUUCUAAGUUCUGGGAUUGAAGGAAAUGGUGGUGGUUCUGGGAUUAAAGGAAGUGGUGACAUCGGAGGUGGCAAUGGUACCGGUAAAUAUGCAGAUGGCAAUGGUACUGGUAAAAAUGGAGGUGGCAAUGGUAUUGGCGACAAUGGAGGUAGCAAUGGUACUGGUGACAAUGGUAUUGGCGACAAUGGAGGUGGCAAUGGUAUUGGUGGAAAUGGAGGUGGCACUUGCUGAAGAUUUCGGGUUGCUAGGCUAACCUCCAUGCUUGAAAAACCCAAGGAAAUGAAGCAGGCUAAUAAAAUGAAAACGUUGGAAGCUGCCAUUUUUUUUUGGAGAGAUGAACUAAAGAUUGAAGAUUUGAGUUGAGGAAAGCAGGAUUGGUUUCGGGUAUUUAUAGCCACAUUUGAAGGAGUUUUUUAAUUAUUUGUUUGAGAUAUUACUCCCCUACUUAGCUUACUACCUUC
This 16536-nucleotide long non-coding RNA is filed under the name Gossypium barbadense (sea-island cotton). Its description in RNAcentral is "long non-coding RNA (GBAR_LNC014561)". The record is from RNAcentral. Lineage: Eukaryota; Viridiplantae; Streptophyta; Magnoliopsida; Malvales; Malvaceae.